AACGAACGCUGGCGGCAGGCCUAACACAUGCAAGUCGAGCGCGCCCUUCGGGGUGAGCGGCGGACGGGUGAGUAACGCGUGGGAACGUGCCCUUUUCUACGGAAUAGCCUCGGGAAACUGAGAGUAAUACCGUAUACGCCCUUUGGGGGAAAGAUUUAUCGGAAAAGGAUCCGCCCGCGUUGGAUUAGGUAGUUGGUGGGGUAAUGGCCUACCAAGCCGACGAUCCAUAGCUGGUGUGAGAGGAUGAUCAGCCACACUGGGACUGAGACACGGCCCAGACUCCAGCGGGAGGCAGCAGUGGGGAAUCUUAGACAAUGGGCGCAACCCUGAUCUAGCCAUGCCGCGUGAGUGAUGAAGGCCUUAGGGUUGUAAAGCUCUUUCAGCUGGGAAGAUAAUGACGGUACCAGCAGAAGAAGCCCCGGCUAACUCCGUG
This 433-nucleotide ribosomal RNA is filed under the name uncultured bacterium. Its description in RNAcentral is "partial 16S ribosomal RNA". It matches the Rfam family "Bacterial small subunit ribosomal RNA", at positions 29 to 507 of the family's 1533-position model. The record is from RNAcentral.